UCAUCAAUAUGGUAUAUUCUUGCCUGUUACUCAUUGAUGUAUUAAUGAUUGGUAGUUGCAUGACAUGUAAUUAGUGUCUCUGCAGCAACUUGGAAACUCCUUGUUGCUUCUUUCUGAU
This is a small nucleolar RNA of Gracilinanus agilis (Agile Gracile Mouse Opossum), 118 nucleotides long. RefSeq annotates it as U8 small nucleolar RNA. The record is from RefSeq and is a predicted model, not a curated record. NCBI's taxonomy places the organism in Eukaryota, Metazoa, Chordata, Mammalia, Didelphimorphia, Didelphidae. The transcript has a single exon.